This 81-nucleotide small RNA is filed under the name Flavobacterium glycines. Its description in RNAcentral is "Flavo-1 RNA". It matches the Rfam family "Flavo-1 RNA". The record is from RNAcentral. Lineage: Bacteria; Pseudomonadati; Bacteroidota; Flavobacteriia; Flavobacteriales; Flavobacteriaceae.
GGUUUGCGUGAGGGAUAGUAGUGAAAAUCCUUUUAUGUAGCGUAGUGAAAUAAAAGAUUGUAACGUAUAGCCCGACCCAGC